CGCAGCCGGGCCUCCUCCCGCAGCCGCUCCGGGGCCCGCGACCGGGCCUCCUCCCGCAGCCGCUCCUCGUCGCGAAGCCGGGCCUCGCCCCGCAGGCGGCGCAGCUUGUUGCGGUAGACGUCCCGAGUGGUGUCGGUGAUGGGUCCUGGCUGGAAGCCCAGGGCCUGCAGCUCCCGCCGCAACUCCAGGUCCGACAAACCGGCCAUGGCCAGGACGCCGCCCCCGGCGCGUAGCGCACCCGGAACUGCUCCCGCCGGCGACCGCGGCAAGGCGGGCGGGGCCGCGCGCCAUGAUGAGAAGGUUGAGGAGAUAAAGUGUGGUUACCUGCUAGAAGAAUUAAACCUCGACAUGAGCCACAAAAGAGUCAGACUCAAUCUGAGUCCUCCGGUGGAAAAAAUGAGAGUGGUGCCACUACAGCACCAGCCUUGGAUAAUAAUCAGGAACAUUCAGAAAGCACAACCCCCAAUUUAG
This 471-nucleotide long non-coding RNA is filed under the name Chinchilla lanigera (long-tailed chinchilla). RNAcentral describes it as "lncRNA (ENSCLAG00000024057.1)". The record is from RNAcentral. Lineage: Eukaryota; Metazoa; Chordata; Mammalia; Rodentia; Chinchillidae.